ACUCCUACGGGAGGCAGCAGUAGGGAAUCUUCCACAAUGGGCGCAAGCCUGAUGGAGCAACACCGCGUGAGUGAAGAAGGGUGUCGGCUCGUAAAGCUCUGUUGUUAAAGAAGAACACGUAUGAGAGUAACUGUUCAUACGUUGACGGUAUUUAACCAGAAAGUCACGGCUAACUACGUGCCAGCAGCCGCGGUAAUACGUAGGUGGCAAGCGUUAUCCGGAUUUAUUGGGCGUAAAGAGAGUGCAGGCGGUUUUCUAAGUCUGAUGUGAAAGCCUUCGGCUUAACCGGAGAAGUGCAUCGGAAACUGGAUAACUUGAGUGCAGAAGAGGGUAGUGGAACUCCAUGUGUAGCGGUGGAAUGCGUAGAUAUAUGGAAGAACACCAGUGGCGAAGGCGGCUACCUGGUCUGCAACUGACGCUGAGACUCGAAAGCAUGGGUAGCGAACAGGAUUAGAUACCCUGGUAGGAUAGCG
This 473-nucleotide ribosomal RNA is filed under the name uncultured bacterium. RNAcentral describes it as "bacterial SSU rRNA". It matches the Rfam family "Bacterial small subunit ribosomal RNA", at positions 335 to 801 of the family's 1533-position model. The record is from RNAcentral.